AUGAAAUUUUAUGAUAUUUUAAUAAAAAAUCGUAAUAAAAAAUAAAUUCAUCCAUUUCACGUUUUCUCAAUAUGCAGAAGUCGAGGAAAUCGUUGUCGGAGACAUUAAAGAGAACGUUAACAUCGAUUGCAACAACUCGGGUGUUGAUUUCCUUGAAGCAGAAGCUAUUAGGACGUCAUCCGCGACCACCAGAAAGAAGCAGGGGACAUGAUCGCGAGUGGGGAGUACGGUUUCUACAUCUUCUCGAGCGCCUGUCGGUUCGGUCUUUACGAAACAGACUUCGGACGGGGAAAACCGACAUGGGUCGGAGCUCCGUCUGUUCAACAGAAGAGCAUGCCGCUUCUCCAAAUCCCUGCGUCAUCAAACCCUUUCUCCAAGUCCGAAGCUUCAGAGCAAAUAUGAUGACGUGGGAAAGAGCCGAAAUCAACUAGCCGUUGGAGUUGGAGGUACUAUGAUGACGUGGUAAAUGAAAUCAUCCAGUAAAAUAAUAAAUGAAAAUUAGUAGUGCCUGUAAACAUUUCCUCUCUAUUUAUCUUAAAAAGAGAGUUACAGUCAUAAUCAGAAACGGCAUUGGGUUUCAAAAUUCAAAUUUCGAGAUUGGAGCGGAGCCCAAGAUCGAUCAAGAAUUGCAGUUUUUCCGGCGAAUCGGCUCCAUUAAUCCAGAAGAAUCGCAGAUGCCUCUGGCGUUGCCCACAUGCUUCAAGACCGAGAUUCUCACGUCACCUGUUUCAGGGCAUCAAAGAUUCGCGAAGCGGGACACUGGGUUUGCUGUGCCGACAAGGAUACAGCACAGUGUCCGAACCGACGAUGACCGCGAGAGGCUGAAAACUCCAGGCUCUUUUACUUUCAGGCGAUUCUGACGAAAAGAGGCCGAGACGCUCAAUCAAGACCUUUUUGACGCCAUCGCCCCCCUCGACCGCGGCGCCGCUGCCAUGCCCGAUGACAAGCUCCUUGUUGAUCAGGUUCUCUUUUCCUUUCCUUUUGAUUCACAGUGUGGCCUUGAUAGACUGGAACAAGAACGUGUCAGGGUACACUACGAUGAUUUCCUCAAAUUCGUCUCUAUUGCCAAUGCAAUACUACUUAAAUGUAGAGUGUAUAUGUUUUGCAUAUUAUUUGCCCUCUUUGAAAAGCUCCAGAACCUCGUAGAACACUUGCUUGUUAGAUUUUCAUCACUGUUUUGAUCUUGUAUUGGUGUGUAGCCCCUUCCUCCUACGGUUUGAUGGGGUUGAUUAGCAAACAUGUGGGUAACAUGUGCAGAGGAAGAUGAUAUCUGGAGUUGGGUACUUUUCUUUUUCCUCCUCUUCAAAGUUCAAUUUCUUAUUUUGUUAGGAGACCUGCCUUCUUCUUCCUCAGUUAGCUUCUGGAAUAUGAUGAUCCACAGGCAAACACCCUGUAAGUACCUCUCUCGUGUAUUGGAUUUUUCCCUUUCUGAGAACGUUUCGGUCUGUUUCUUUAAUGAUCAUGAUCAUGCUGUUUUUUUUUAUGCUUCAGAUUAUAAAUAGUUGAGUUGUAACAGAAAGUAGAUGACGAACCAACAAGAAUCUGAUUUAGAAAAUGGCAAAUCUUUGUACGUAUUGAAAAUGUAUAUAUUUUGCAUAUAUUUACCACGUGUUAAAAGCUUCAGAAACGCGUAGAACACUUGCUUGUUAGAUUUUCAUCGCUGCUUUUAUGAUCUUUUAUCGAUUUGUAGCUUCUUCCACCUAAUGUUUUCAUGAGGUUGAGUUUGUUGCAAAGAAAACAAAAGGGGCGAAAGAGGAAAGCAGACAUGUGGGCCACAUCUGCCGAGGGAGACAAUAUCUUAAGUUAUGUACUUCUGUUUUUUCUCUUCAAAAUUCAAUUUCUUAUUUUGUUAGGAUAGACUAUCCGACCUGUCUUCUUCCCCAGUUAGCUCCUAGAAUCUGAUUUUCAACAAGCAAAUAACAUCAGAAUCUAGAAGCAAAUAACCUGUCAGUAGGUGUCUCUUUUGUGUUGUCUUUACCUUUUUUGAGAAAGUUUUAGUCUUUUAUUAUGAUUAUGAUCAUGCUGGCUUUUUAUAUUUCGAAUGACCUGUUGUUGAGUGAUUUGAUGGGAAGAUAGAAGAGGACCCCACAUGAAUUUGAUUUAGAAGUCGACAAAAUUUUGUGUAGAUUAACAGUUGAAAAAUUUUUACAUUUUAUUUGCCCUAUAGCUUCAGGGUAGAGAACUUGCUUGUUAGAUUUUCAUAGCUGCUAUUCUGAUAGUUUCUUCCACUUAAGGUUUUCUUGGGUUGUGUUUGUGGCAAAGAAAACAAAAGGGGCGAAAGCAAACACGUGGGCGGCAACAUCUGACGGGGGAGACAAUAUCUGAAGUUAGUAAACAACAGGUAAGACAGCAAACACCGACAUCCGCAGAAGGAGACGAUAUCUUAAGCUUCAUCCACCAAAUGUUUUCAUGGGGUUGAGAUUGUUGCUAAGAAAACGAUAGGGGCGAAAGACAAAAGCAAACAUGUGGGCAACAUCCGCCGAGGGAGACAACAUCUUAAGUUAGGAAAACAACAGAGGAAAAUAAACAUUAGGGCAACAUCUUCAGAGGAAAACGUUAUCUAAAGUUAAGUAAUUUUAUUUUAUUUUUCUCUUCAAACCUCUCUUGGUAAAAGCAUAUGAUCGAGUACCAUGAGAGGUUUUAUGGUGGGUGUUAGAGCGGAGAGGAGUAUCCGUGAGAUACAUACAAGUAUUGAAGGAUAUGUAUGAAGGUGCAACCGCUGACUAAAGAUAUACAAAAGGAAGUACCGUGGUACAUGAUGUUUGCAGACGACAUCGUGUUAAUAGAUGAGUCUAGAGAAGGAGUAAAUGAACAAUUAGAGUUGUGGAGGAGUACAUUAGAGGCUAAGGGUUUUAGGCUUAGUGGGACGAAGACCGAGUAUAUGCAUUGCAAUUUUAGUGGGGGGCGUUCUAGUAAUGUAGGAGUUAACUUAUAAGGAGUAUUAGUACCUCAAAACACACAUUUUAAAUAUUUUGGCUCAAUCCUUCAAAAGGAUGGAGGUUGUGACGAAGAUGUUAGUCACAGGAUAAAAGUGGGAUGGAUGAAAUGGAGACAAGACAUGGGGUUCCUUUGCGAUCGUAAAGUUCUUAUAUGGUUGAAAGAGAAAUUCUAUCGUAAUGUCAUAAGACCUGCAUUGAUGUAUGGUAAUGAGUGUUGGGCGGCGAAAGGACAACAUGUGUCCAAAAUAUGUGUGGUCGAGAUGAAGAUGUUGCGAUGGAUGUGGAACAUACGAAUAGACCGAAUUCGAAAUGAGAGUAUUAGAGAGAAAGUAGGAGUCAUAACCAUAGAAGAGAAAUUAUGUGAGAGACGUUUAAGGUGGUUUGGACACAUAAAACAUAGACCGCUAGAUGUUCUGGUUAGAAAAUUAGAGAGUAUAAGAAUGAAAGUGAAGAAACGAGGAAGGGGUAGGCCUAGACAUCGAGUCAUUAGAAAUGACUUGGAUAUAUUUCAAAUAUCGGAGAAUAUGACGCAAAACUGGAAUGAAUGGAAAAGAAAAAUUCAUGCAGACGACCCCAAAUAAACUUGGGAUUAAGGCGAUGUUGUUGUUGUUGUUGAUUCUCUUCAAACUUAAUAUUCUUCUUGUGCUAGGAAAGUCGGGCCAACAUAUGUCUUCUUCCUAAGCUAGCUUGUCGAAUAUGAUGUUCAUCAGACAAAUAUGAAAUACCCUUUGUAAGCCAACAGGGGAGACCACAAACAUCAGGGCAACAAUUGCAGAGGCCAACAUAUGUCUUCUCUUCAAACUUGAAUUUGUUAUUGUGUUUGGAGAGCCAGGCCAGCAUAUGUCUUCUUCCCAAGCUAGCUUGUAGAAUAUGAUGUUCAACAGACAAAUACUCCGUAAGUAACUCCCUCUUAUAUUGGAUUUUUCCCUUUUAGAGAAUGUUUUGGUCUCUUUCUUUAAAGAUCAUGAUUAUGCUGCUUUUUUUAUACUUCGAAUGAUUUGCGGUUGAGUUAUAACAGGAUGCAGAUUAGGAACCAAGAAUCUGAUUUAGAAAUUGACAAAUCUUAGUAUAGAUAUAAAAUGUAUAUAUUUUGCAUAUUAUUUGCAAUGUGUUAAAAAAUUGAGAAACGCGUAGAACACUUGCUUGUUACAUUUUCAUCGCUGCUGUUCUGCUAGCUUCUUCAACCUAAGGUUUUCAUGGGGUUGAGUUUGUUGCAAAGAACACAACAGGGGCAAACAUCUACCGAGGGAAACAAUAUCUUAAGCUAGGUACUCUUUUUUUCUCUUCAAAUUUCAAGACAAGCCGAACUAUCUUCUUCCUCAGUUCACUUCAAGAAUCUGAUUUUCAACAAGGAAUUAACAUCAGAUUCUAGAAGCAAAUAACCUGUUAGUAACUCUCUUUUGUGUUACCUUUAUCUUUUCGAGAAAGUUUUAUCCUUUUUUUUAUGAUUAUGAUCAUGCUGCCGUUUUAUACUUCGGAUGAUCUGUUGUUGAGCAGUAAGAGAAAGUAGAAGAGGACCCUACUUGAAUCUGAUUCAGAAGUCAGGCAAAACUUGUUAUAGAUUGAAAAUGUAUAAAUUUUGCCCAAUGUUAAAAGCUUCAAAAAUAUGUAGAGCACUUGAUUAUCAGAUUUUCA
This is a long non-coding RNA of Tarenaya hassleriana, 4574 nucleotides long. RefSeq lists it as uncharacterized. The record is from RefSeq and is a predicted model, not a curated record. The transcript is spliced from 5 exons. Lineage: Eukaryota; Viridiplantae; Streptophyta; Magnoliopsida; Brassicales; Cleomaceae.